Polistes dominula (European paper wasp) is the source of this 1265-nucleotide long non-coding RNA. RefSeq lists it as uncharacterized. NCBI's taxonomy places the organism in Eukaryota, Metazoa, Arthropoda, Insecta, Hymenoptera, Vespidae. The record is from RefSeq and is a predicted model, not a curated record.
AUAUUCAUAUGGUAAUUUAUAUAUAUCGAAUAUGAAUUUAUAGUUAAUUACGAUUAGUAAGUAACUUGUUAUGGCUACUCAAAUGGAAAAUGGAACAAUAUAGAAAUUACUUUGCUAUCAUAACAUCUUUAUAUAACAAUCUCAACACGAUACUAAUGUGGUAAUUAAGUUGCUUAUAUCAUGACAAGUCUUUUCGUAGCUCGCGGAGAUUUCAAGAGUAAUAAAGUAAAUUAGAAUCAUUAGAAGUCAGAAGGAUACAAAGAGAAGAUCUCUUUCAUGUAAGCUGAGCUAAUGAAGAUGAGGUCAUGGAAUGAAUAUGAUUUGAUUACGUUCGAAGAAAUAGAAGAAACAAAGAAAUAUAAAAUAACUUACCGGAAUAUAUAAAGAAAAGAUCUAACAAGAUGAUAUUCGUUAUAAAAGAAUGGAAAAAAAACUACGACCAUUUAAACACGUUUACGAGAGUAAACAAGUUUGUAAGAAUACAGAACAUCCUUUUAAAAACGGGGUAUGAAAAUUCGUCGAUAAUCGAAUAGUAGUUUUGAUUCUUUCUUUUCUCUUUUUCAUUCUUUUCUUUCUUUACAAUUUUCACAUCAAGUUAGAGAUUUAAGCGAGUGGACAAGGCAACGGAGGCGCCAAAACGUCUGUGCCGGAUUUGAGAGUGCGCACGUGCCGCCGGAAAGUGGGUUAAUUUCUUGCUCGCACGAGUAUAGAGGAUGACGACAAAAGUACUAUAUCCUUUAUUACCUCGAUGAUUCUCCUUUUUACUCUUUCAAAAAUUAACGAAUGAACGAAUGAAUUAAUAAACAAAGCAAUUUGGAAGAAUCCUUGAGUGUAUAAUGUCGUAUUAUUUUUGCGGACGUUAACCUUACUCAUUUUCUCUCUUUCUUUAUCUCUUAUGUUACAAAUAGGAGUUGGUAGGAGACAAUUCAUUGUGACCCUGCCAACGAGAACAAAUUCUCUUACAUAUGAGUUCAUCGAGCCUAUUUCAGAUAUUUCUGUUUUGUUUUAGGUUGAAGUGUCAAAAAGGGAAAUUGAUAUGUUAACAAGAUAAAUAACAUUAUCAAAAGAUCGACCGUCUAGACAUAAAACGGAUACUCUAAAAUAUAGUGAUGUCAUCUUUUUACCGUCCAUCGUUUUAUUGAAUGAACUCAUUUUAUAAAUAAAGUGGAUGACAUUUUGAAAAGAGACAGACCAUCUGGAAGAAAGUAAAAGAUUCAUCAACUGUGAGAAAGAGGGAGAAAAAGAGAGAGAGAGAGAAAAAAAGA